UCUUCCUUGCAAAUGUCUGGUGACCAAUGUCAACAACUUUUGGCAUACUUGAAGGCUAACAUGACUGGAACGGAUCUCUCAAACCACCAAGCAUCUGUGUCAACCGUGGGAGGAUACAAUCACAUUAAUGAAGAAUGGGAUGGGAAUCAUGCAUGAAGGAUUGUACUACUUGCUUGAAGAGUUGAAGCCUUGUAGAAGAACAUUAGCUAGUAUCAACUCUGUCAAAUCAAGUUUUUUGUGGCACAAUAGGCUAGGACAUCCUUCAUCUAGAAUUUCAGAAAUGUUGCCUUCAACUAUUUUGUGUAAAAACUGUCAAAAUUGUGAUGUAUGCCCCCUAGCUAAGAUGAAGAGAAAAAGUUUUUGUACUAGCCAGAGCAAGAGCACAAGAAUCUUUGAAUUAGUGCAUUUUGACAUUUGGGGA
Long non-coding RNA from Tripterygium wilfordii, 421 nucleotides. RefSeq lists it as uncharacterized. The record is from RefSeq and is a predicted model, not a curated record. The transcript is spliced from 2 exons. NCBI's taxonomy places the organism in Eukaryota, Viridiplantae, Streptophyta, Magnoliopsida, Celastrales, Celastraceae.